RNAcentral lists this non-coding RNA (23 nucleotides) under Rattus norvegicus (Norway rat). Lineage: Eukaryota; Metazoa; Chordata; Mammalia; Rodentia; Muridae. The record is from RNAcentral.
UCUUCAUGUAAGAUAGAGGCUGG